GAGGGUAUAGCUCAGUGGUAGAGUGCAUGCUUAGCAUGCACAAGGUCCUGGGCUCAAUCCCCAGUACCUCCA
RNAcentral lists this transfer RNA (72 nucleotides) under Camelus ferus (Wild Bactrian camel). It matches the Rfam family "tRNA". Rfam says of the family: Transfer RNA (tRNA) molecules are approximately 80 nucleotides in length. Their secondary structure includes four short double-helical elements and three loops (D, anti-codon, and T loops). The record is from Rfam by way of RNAcentral. Lineage: Eukaryota; Metazoa; Chordata; Mammalia; Artiodactyla; Camelidae.